UUGUAAAGCUAUCCCCAAGCGCAGCCUUCUUCAUUUCAUUUCCCCUCACCCUCACGUAUUCCCCCUCCCCUCCAUUUUCCUUGCUGCAUAUCCACCACCUGGUUCCCCCACGAUCACCCUCCUUCUAUCACGCCAACUCCACACCAACUUCAACAACCGCUAGCCUCCCAUCUCCAAUGACCAGUAACGCCAACACCACCCCAACACCAGUUUCACCGCUAACGCACCAACAACUCUGCCCAUCUCCGCCCACAACUUCAUCCGCCCACCCCCACCACACGCUACCAGUAGCGCACCACCCACCAGAAGCCCCAACUUCAGCUCAGCUCACCCCCAACCGUCUAGCGACUGUAGCUCCACAGGUCAACCUGCCACAGAACCAAACCAGCUUUGGCCGUGAGCCCCCUUACGGAUUUCAGCCACUGUUUGAGCUCCAUUGGAGACACGGUUGUUCUGGGCCUUCACCGCCAUCGCCGUGAGCCCGCCGCCAUCAAAUUUCGGUGAGUUAAUUCCCUAAUCCUUGAUUAGGUUGUUAAUUGCGCUUAAGGGGUUAGAUUAGUGCUAAUUAGCUUAGUUAAAUUAGUAUUGAGUGAUAUUAACCUUAAGAUGGAUUAGUCUUAAUCUAUUUUGGUUAGAUUAGCCUUAAGAUGUAUUAAUAUUGAUCUAGUUGGUUGGAUUAGUUCUAAUGAGGGUGAUUUAGUUUGGUUUAGUGGAUUUCUCCCAGAUCAGUUUGCUGGAUGCUCACCGCUUGCCAUUUUUGUGAGGAAAAAGUGCUACGAUUUUGAGGUUGUUUCCUUCUUGAAAAAUGUUCUAGACAACUUCAGCUAUGACAUAUAUUUUACUCCAUAUUUUAGGGAUUUAAAAGAAUGAGAUUUCAGUUUCGUUAUUUGCAAAACAAAAUCUCGAAUUAUGCUGGAAACAGUGACCUUGUGGUGUUCAAAUGAUUUUUAUCAACUCUUAAGGUUCGAUUUUUGAAAGAGUUUCUUCAUAAAAGUUGUUCAUUACAUCUUGUAAUUUAAUAUAGUUAAAUUUCAGAUCAAACAAACAAGUUUUGGAUUUCGAACUAAACUGAUUUUGGAAAACAUAAUUUCUAGACAAGGACAUAGUUUUUGUAACAGUUUGAGAGAUUUACUACUCUCAUUCUAGAAGAAUCUGGGUUAUGGUGUCUCAUAAAAAGUGUUUGAUUAAGUGUCCUUUAGAACAUAUUAAAAUUUGAGAAUUUUCUGAGCUUGUUUGAUUAUGUUUAUGAAAUUAAACUUGGAGGCGCACCCGGUUUCUGCCGAUUAAGAUCAGUAGUGAUUUUGUGAUUGUUCUUAAUGUUGUGCUUGCUGGACAAUGCAUAUUUGGUGGUGUGGUUGACUUUUGGCAUGCUUAGAACUUAUGUGUGAUGAUAUGUGAAUGGUAGUUCUACGGUGGUUGUUUAUUGUUAUUGCAAAAAAAUGACCUUAUGAGUUUUUAAUUAGAAAAACAAUGAGGUGUCGGGUUGGAUACCAAAACUUAUUUGCUCAAUAAAACAAUGAGAUUUUAAAUUAGGCACGUGCAAAUUUUGACAGAUUAAUUUUGAGUACAUGAGCAUCUAUGAAUUUAUUUCUAAAAGUUUUGAACAAAAAAGGCGGGGUUACUAAAGAUUGUUUUUAAAAGGGAUGGUUGGGCAAGAAAAUGGAAAAAUAAAUGAGGUGUCGGUUGGACACGAGGUUUUAUGUGGUCAAUAAAAUGAGGAGGUUUUAUACUAGAUGCGUGCAAAGUUUGACGGGUAAAUUUCAAAUACGUUACCCCGUACGAAUUUAUUUCGAAAAGUUUGAACAAAAAAAAAUGGGUUGCUAAGUUGAUUUUUUUAAAAAGGGGUUUUGGUGUUCAUGGCUACAUAAUGGAGGAUAAAGUUGACUUGAUUGAUGAUAUGCCUGCAUGGUUAAGUUAAUUAAGUAGUUCAGUUUACUUAAAUGUGAUUUAUUUAAUUGAUCGCAAUUAGCGUAAUUAGUGACGGAUUAGCCGUUUCGUGAAAUUAUGUGCUGAUUCUCUUGGUUGAAUUUAUAUGUGAAAUUGAUUGAUUAUAAGUGCAAUUGAGUGCUUGGUGGUGAUUUUUGAAUAUUAUUACAAAACCUGAUUUUAUGGUAUUUAAAUAGAAAAACAUCGAGUGUCAGUUUUUGACGCCAAAAUUUUAGAUACUAUAUAAAAUCAUGGAGUUUUGAACUAGGAGUGUACCAAAUUUGAUGGUUCAAUUUAAAUGCGUGAUCACACGCGAUUAUUUUACUAGGAUGAUUUUUAAUACGAAUAAAAGUGGCCAAGUUCAUUAUUCGAAAUUGAGGCAUUUGAGUGCAAAGCACGAUGUUCUUGGCUGAGUAUGGAUGUGCAUGUGGUCACUAUCAAAACCCAUCCUGAUGUGUAUGAAUACGCAGGGCGAUACUUGAUUAAGUUUGGAUGCCCCAAAUCAAUGGAUGCCGGUCUCAGUAAGGGCUGGGCUGAUGCUCUUGUGUGGAAUGCCGUCUUGAUGCGUAUGAAUACAUGGGAUGAUGUCGUGCUCGAUGGAAUGGGACGACGCCUGGUUAUGCCGAAUGACCGCCAACUGUCGAGUUGGCCGUGGUCAUUGGAUCGUAAUAACUAGAACAUGCAUGAAUGGUUGUGAUAAUUGUGCCUAAUUAUGGGACAAAAUUGUGUAACACGGUAUGGACGUGUCAUAAUGGUUCAGUCUUAUAAUUGGGACCCAUGUAAUUGAAAUGAUGUGUUCCGGUUAUUAAACUGUGCUUGCUGCACUGAUGAUGGUAUAUAUGUUGAGCUAACGUGCAGGUACGUGCCGAGGCGAGCUAAGAUCUGUAUGGUGUUUGCUUAGGACCACCUUCGAGGUGAAUUUGCGUCCUAAUCAAGGUUUAGGGUUUUGACUCACUCAGAUUUUUAUCUCAUCUCGUCGUGGGCUAACCUUUUUCAAGGCCGUAGCGUGGUGAUCUGAUGAGUUCGGAUGUGGUGGGUGUGAGAUGCGACACCUUGUGGCUGGCCCUGCCGUUAGCGAAGUUUAAGGUGAUCAUGAUCCUUGAGGUCUUUUAAGAGAGUCAAGAGGAAGUAGCCGCUGAAGGGCUUGUAAUUAUUAGACUUCCUUGGGUCAACAGUUGGUAAGGAAAUUGUUAGGUUUG
RNAcentral lists this long non-coding RNA (3125 nucleotides) under Eucalyptus grandis. Its description in RNAcentral is "long non-coding RNA (EGRA_LNC003035)". The record is from RNAcentral. Lineage: Eukaryota; Viridiplantae; Streptophyta; Magnoliopsida; Myrtales; Myrtaceae.